This 183-nucleotide small nuclear RNA is filed under the name Vulpes vulpes (red fox). RNAcentral's name for it is "U2 spliceosomal RNA (ENSVVUG00000005721.1)". It matches the Rfam family "U2 spliceosomal RNA". From Rfam's summary of the family: U2 is a small nuclear RNA (snRNA) component of the spliceosome (involved in pre-mRNA splicing). Complementary binding between U2 snRNA (in an area lying towards the 5' end but 3' to hairpin I) and the branchpoint sequence (BPS) of the intron results the bulging out of an unpaired adenosine, on the BPS, which initiates a nucleophilic attack at the intronic 5' splice site, thus starting the first of two transesterification reactions that mediate splicing. The record is from Rfam by way of RNAcentral. Lineage: Eukaryota; Metazoa; Chordata; Mammalia; Carnivora; Canidae.
AUCUCAUUUCAACCACUUUUUAAAAAACUGAUAAACCCUUUUGACACAGAAUUGUCCUCUAUCCGAGGACAAUAUAUUAAAUGGAUUUUUGGAGCAGGGAGAUGGAGAUGGAAUAGGAGCUUGCUCCGUCCACUCUGCGCAUCGACCUGGUAUUGCAGUACCUCCAGGAACGGUGCAUCCCCU